UACGGAGGGUGCAAGCGUUAUCCGGAUUCACUGGGUUUAAAGGGUGCGUAGGCGGGUAGGUAAGUCAGUGGUGAAAUCUUCGAGCUUAACUCGGAAACUGCCGUUGAUACUAUCUAUCUUGGAUACCGUGGAGGUGAGCGGAAUAUGUCAUGUAGCGGUGAAAUGCUUAGAUAUGACAUAGAACACCAAUUGCGAAGGCAGCUCGCUACACGAAUAUUGACUCUGAGGCACGAAAGCGUGGGGAUCAAACAGG
This 253-nucleotide ribosomal RNA is filed under the name uncultured bacterium. Its description in RNAcentral is "partial 16S ribosomal RNA". It matches the Rfam family "Bacterial small subunit ribosomal RNA", at positions 524 to 776 of the family's 1533-position model. The record is from RNAcentral.